GACGAACGCUGGCGGCGUGCCUAAUACAUGCAAGUAGAACGCUGAAGAGAGGAGCUUGCUCUUCUUGGAUGAGUUGCGAACGGGUGAGUAACGCGUAGGUAACCUGCCUUGUAGCGGGGGAUAACUAUUGGAAACGAUAGCUAAUACCGCAUAACAAUGGAUGACACAUGUCAUUUAUUUGAAAGGGGCAAUUGCCCCACUACAAGAUGGACCUGCGUUGUAUUAGCUAGUAGGUGAGGUAAUGGCUCACCUAGGCGACGAUACAUAGCCGACCUGAGAGGGUGAUCGGCCACACUGGGACGGAGACACGGCCCAGAGGCCUACGGGAGGCAGCAGUAGGGAAUCUGCGGCAAUGGGGGCAACCCUGACCGAGCAACGCCGCGUGAGGGAAGAAGGUUGUCGGAUCGGAAAGCUCGGUUGUAAGUCAAGAACGGGUGUGAGAGUGGAAAGUUCACACUGUGACGGUAGCUGACCAGAAAGGGACGGCUAACUACGUG
This 497-nucleotide ribosomal RNA is filed under the name uncultured bacterium. Its description in RNAcentral is "partial 16S ribosomal RNA". It matches the Rfam family "Bacterial small subunit ribosomal RNA", at positions 28 to 507 of the family's 1533-position model. The record is from RNAcentral.